UGCACUUUUCGCCUGGCUUCUUUGCGUAAAGAACCUAACUCAUCUGAAGUUAAGAAAAAUAAACCAUUUAACCCUUUAACCAGUGUAUGCUAAGUAGUGGCAAUAAGAAUCUGAACUUUCUGAAAUUUGAACCAGAACUUGAAUAGGAAAACAAGUGGACACACCCGCAAGGAAACCCAUCUCGAAACCGGCGAGUUGCCUAAAACCUCCCUUGUUGUCUUGCUUGCUUUCGGAUAAGAAAGACUAGUCACUUUAACCUACCUUCCUAGCUAUAGUU
RNAcentral lists this long non-coding RNA (277 nucleotides) under Solanum pimpinellifolium. Its description in RNAcentral is "long non-coding RNA (SPIM_LNC000232)". The record is from RNAcentral. Lineage: Eukaryota; Viridiplantae; Streptophyta; Magnoliopsida; Solanales; Solanaceae.